Long non-coding RNA from Sander lucioperca (pikeperch), 875 nucleotides. RefSeq lists it as uncharacterized. The transcript is spliced from 2 exons. NCBI's taxonomy places the organism in Eukaryota, Metazoa, Chordata, Actinopteri, Perciformes, Percidae. The record is from RefSeq and is a predicted model, not a curated record.
AUGCCAGAAUUCAUGCACCUGUUCACACUCCCAGACCAUAUGCAGGAACGUUCCAGUUUGUUCAGGUUGACAGAAAGUACAAUGGAGUGGGAAUGGCUUUCGAGACGUAUUUCUUCUGAGGAGUCCAAUAUGUCCUAUGGAAUAUGUUGAAGUGGAUAUACUGGUGAUUUGGGUUCUUGGAACAGUGGAAAAUAUCCCAAACUGCCUCCCAAUUAAUUGUGAUCCCCUCAGGGCUCAGCUCUCAUUCCCAUUUCUUUACUAUUGGGGGUUCUUUAUUUUAAUUUUUAGACUAUUAGUUUAUCUUUUAAAUGAGUUUUGGCAGUUGUGUGCUGUGUGUUUGUGAGUGAAUGAGUCUGUGAGUGGAAAAUGAAACAUUUAUUUUACACAAACCACAUUCAAACUCCUGAAUGUCAGGAGGGAGAACCUCCAUGCUUUUUGUGCACAUGAUAUGAGGUACAGUAUAUCGCAGCCACAGAGAAAGUUUUAUUUUGGCGGGGCAGAUGAUAAUUACAAGAUAAUGACACACCAGGCACACAUGCAAUGAGGCAGGUGGAGAGCUUAAACAUACCAUUAUUCACAGCUCUGAGCAUCGCUACUGUAUGUAUCUACAACAUGUAAUGUAUUUAUUUCACUAUCACUGUUUACUUUGUGAUUAAGAAAAGUGUAAAAUGCAAACUAGUGGAAGUUCACUGUGACUGGUAUGCUUUUAAUUUGAAGAAUCAGCAUCCCUUUUCUGUGAUGUGACAGUUAUAUACACAUACAAUGCAUAUAUAAAUAUCUAUAAGGGCAUGUAUUACUGUAUCAAAAUUCAAAAAGACAAAAACAAAAUGGCUGCAGUGUCUAUGGCUGAUAGAGAAUAAAAGUCUACAAAUGUA